GGGCCAGUAGCUCAGCAGGAUAGAGCAACGGCCUUCUAAGCCGUAGGUCGGGGGUUCGAAUCCCUCCUGGCUCGCCA
Molecule: transfer RNA, 77 nt
Filed under: Clostridiales bacterium
Lineage: Bacteria; Bacillati; Bacillota; Clostridia; Eubacteriales
Also listed under: 2 other names
Description: tRNA-Arg
Rfam family: tRNA
About the family: Transfer RNA (tRNA) molecules are approximately 80 nucleotides in length. Their secondary structure includes four short double-helical elements and three loops (D, anti-codon, and T loops).
Source: RNAcentral